RNAcentral lists this ribosomal RNA (253 nucleotides) under uncultured bacterium. Its description in RNAcentral is "partial 16S ribosomal RNA". It matches the Rfam family "Bacterial small subunit ribosomal RNA", at positions 524 to 776 of the family's 1533-position model. The record is from RNAcentral.
UACGAAGGGGGCUAGCGUUGUUCGGAAUUACUGGGCGUAAAGCGCCCGUAGGCUGAUAUUUAAGUCAGGGGUGAAAUCCCAGAGCUCAACUCUGGAACUGCCUUUGAUACUGGGUAUCUCGAGUAUGGAAGAGGUGAGUGGAAUUCCGAGUGUAGAGGUGAAAUUCGUAGAUAUUCGGAGGAACACCAGUGGCGAAGGCGGCUCACUGGUCCAUUACUGACGCUGAGGUGCGAAAGCGUGGGGAGCAAACAGG